GAUGAACGCUGGCGGCGUGCCUAAUACAUGCAAGUCGAGCGAACGGACGAGAAGCUUGCUUCUCUGAUGUUAGCGGCGGACGGGUGAGUAACACGUGGAUAACCUACCUAUAAGACUGGGAUAACUUCGGGAAACCGGAGCUAGUACCGGAUAAUAUUUUGAACCGCAUGGUUCAAAAGUGAAAGACGGUCUUGCUGUCACUUAUAGAUGGAUCCGCGCUGCAUUAGCUAGUUGGUAAGGUAACGGCUUACCAAGGCAACGAUGCAUAGCCGACCUGAGAGGGUGAUCGGCCACACUGGGACUGAGACACGGUCCAGACUCCUACGGGAGGCAGCAGUAGGGAAUCUUCCGCAAUGGGCGAAAGCCUGACGGAGCAACGCCGCGUGAGUGAUGAAGGUCUUCGGAUCGUAAAACUCUGUUAUUAGGAAAGAACAUAUGUGUAAGUAACUGUGCACAUCUUGACGGUACCUAAUCAGAAAGCCACGGCUAACUACGUG
Molecule: ribosomal RNA, 497 nt
Filed under: uncultured bacterium
Lineage: Bacteria
Description: partial 16S ribosomal RNA
Rfam family: Bacterial small subunit ribosomal RNA
Source: RNAcentral